RNAcentral lists this ribosomal RNA (944 nucleotides) under uncultured organism. Its description in RNAcentral is "bacterial SSU rRNA". It matches the Rfam family "Bacterial small subunit ribosomal RNA", at positions 469 to 1411 of the family's 1533-position model. The record is from RNAcentral.
UUGACGGUACCCUACUAGAAAGGAGCCGCUAACUUCGUGCCAGAAGCGUCGGUAAUACGGGGGCUCCAAGCGUUAUCCGGUGUUAUUGGGCGUAAAGAGUCGUGUAGGUGGUUGGGUAAGUUAUCUUUCAAAUAUCUUUGCUUAACAAAGAGGAGGGGGAUAAUACUGCUCGACUAGAAUUUUCUCAAGGGAGAUCGGAACUGAGGGAGGAGUAGUGAAAUGCGUUGAUACCCUCGGGAACACCAGUGGCGUAGGCGGAUCUCUGGGAGAAGAUUGACACUGAGACACGAAAGCUAGGGGAGCGAAGCAGAUUAGAGACCUGCGUAGUCCUAGCCGUAAACGCAUGCUUGCUAGCUGCAUGAAUCUACCUUCGGGUGGUAUCGUGUGGCGAAGGUAACCCGUUAAGCAAGCCGCCUGGAAAGUACGGCCGCAAGGCUGAAAUUCAAAGGAAUUGGCGGGGAGGCACACAACCAGUGGAACAUGUGGUUUAAUUCGAGACUAACCGAAGAACCUCACCAGGGUUUGACAUGUAGCUGCACGUCUUAAGAAAUUAAGACUCUCUUGAAGGUGCUACACAGGUGCUGCAUGGCUGUCGUCAGCUCGUUCCGUGAGGAGUGCCCUUAAGUGGGACAACGAGCGCAACCCCUAUUACAUGUUAGAAAUGUCAUGUAAGACUGCCUUGCCAUUUGGCGGGGAGGAAGGAGGGGCAGACGUCAAGUCCGCAUGGUCCUUAUGCCCUGGGCUACACACAUGUUACAAUGAGUACGGCAAUGAGCCUGUCGCGAGCACGUAAGUGUAAGCUAAUCUCUUAAAUGUACUCUCAGUGGGGAUUGAGGUCUGCAACUCGACCUCAUGAACACGGAAUUGGUAGUAAUCGCGGGUCAGCUAUACCGCGGUGAUACGUUCUUGCCUCUUGCACACACCGCCCGUCAAACCAGCAAAGU